GACCAGCCUCCCCUGUUCCCAGCUGUGUGUCCAUGAAGAGUGACUGGUAUAUGGGUCAUCCUAUAGUGUUUAGAGAGGGAGACUUUUCUACUGAACAAAGACCAAUCAAGCCGGAGAGAACAGCCUCCCCUGUACCCAGCUGUGUGUCCAUGAAGAGUGAUCGGUCUAUGGGUACACCUAUAGAGUUUAGAGAGGGAGACUUUUCUACUGAACAAAGACCAAUCAAGCCGGAGAGAACAGCCUCCCCUGUACCCAGCUGUGUGUCCAUGAAGAGUGAUCGGUCUAUGGGUACACCUAUAGAGUUUAGAGAGGGAGACUUUUCUACUGAACAAAGAUUCUCUAACCAAACUCUGAGAUCAGUCUCUCCAGUACCCAGUC
This 378-nucleotide long non-coding RNA is filed under the name Salmo salar (Atlantic salmon). RNAcentral's name for it is "lncRNA (ENSSSAG00000121614.1)". Lineage: Eukaryota; Metazoa; Chordata; Actinopteri; Salmoniformes; Salmonidae. The record is from RNAcentral.